RNAcentral lists this ribosomal RNA (251 nucleotides) under uncultured Synergistaceae bacterium. RNAcentral describes it as "partial 16S ribosomal RNA". It matches the Rfam family "Bacterial small subunit ribosomal RNA", at positions 1137 to 1382 of the family's 1533-position model. The record is from RNAcentral. Lineage: Bacteria; Thermotogati; Synergistota; Synergistia; Synergistales; Synergistaceae.
CGUAGGGAAGGACUCGCCAUCGAACAAGAGUGGAAGGAAGGUGGGGAUGACGUCAAGUCAUCAUGGCCCUUAUGUCCAGGGCGACACACGUGCUACAAUGGCCGGCACAACGGGAAGCGAGUUCGCGAGGACGAGCGGAUCCCUUAAAGCCGGUCGCAGUUCGGAUUGAAGUCUGCAACUCGACUUCAUGAAGCUGGAAUCGCUAGUAAUCGUGGAUCAGCCAAGCCGCGGUGAAUACGUUCCCGGGCCUU